AUGGAGCUUCUGAAGGGAGCUGGGGUUGGCCUUUAUUUGAACAGCUGGUCUGCGGUGGUGGUGAGCCUCUCCAGCUGGGAGGAAGGGGGAGAAGAACUAGGGGAAGAGGGGAGGUCCUUGCAGUCUCUAGGGAGAAUUAUUAGGUGGUAUUCUGUUCCUUUGUUUCCCAGAGUCCCACGCUUCUGGGUGGCCAGCUGCCAGGCGAUCUCUAAGCACCUUCAGAGUGUUGCUAAACUGGGAGAGGGGGAUUACCAGGAGUGAGUUCAAGACUGGGAUCAGCAGUUUCAUGAACACUGAUGGCCCUGCCCCAGGACUUUUAUUUCAUACUUUUACUUAGUGUUUAUUCAGUUUCCUGGAGAAGAAUGCCCCAGUCCUCCAUUCCAGGUGAGUUCCUUUGAUGCACCUGGGAUCAGAGAGUUUAAAUAACACUGGUUUGUUUUUAAAGAUUUUGAAAGAAUGGGAGCCCUGCAGCUGAAAUUCCAAGGCAAGGACAGUACUGGCCAAGGUGAGGACCCAAUCAAAGGAGAGAGGCAAGAUUAGAACUAUUGUGAAGCUCCCAACCUGGUGAGAUACCUGGGAGGUAUUGCCAACCUCUUGCACUUCCCUGUUUCUCCCAGUGUUUACCAAACCAAUCUUGCAAGUUUAGAAACAGCAAUCUCUUCUUUGAUUCUGUUCCCUAUUGGCUGGACAUAGUAUGGAGGGCAGAAGACUCAAACAAAUCUACAGCUUGUUUGCAGUUACUGUCUGGGAUUUCCAUUAAGAAACAUAUUAUCUAAGUCCCAUGAAUGAAGUUCAUGAAUGAAAAAGGGACCAUUUAAAUACAAGGAAGGAGACUCAGCUUCCUAUCUUGGGCAAUUUUUAAGCUUGUCUCAGACCAUACUCCUGGAUCUAUUUAGAACCUGGGACCAGCUGUGCUGGCCACAAGCUCCUGAAAAUCUCAGGCUGUUUGGAGAGGAGAGUAAUCUACUUGUAUGUAGUUGGAGAACCCACUGAUGAGCAGUAGGAAAUAUUAAAGGUGUUGAAAAAGCCUACAUGAGCACAAUGACUAUACUCUGAUGUGGCCACUGGGAUAGUAGCACAAGAGUAGUGCCACAUGGUGGCCAAAAUAAUAUUCUAACUGGUUAACUAAUUGAUUACAUGACGGCCUGCUUCUCUGUAGAC
RNAcentral lists this long non-coding RNA (1161 nucleotides) under Phascolarctos cinereus (koala). RNAcentral describes it as "lncRNA (ENSPCIG00000031925.1)". Lineage: Eukaryota; Metazoa; Chordata; Mammalia; Diprotodontia; Phascolarctidae. The record is from RNAcentral.